Molecule: ribosomal RNA, 252 nt
Filed under: uncultured bacterium
Lineage: Bacteria
Description: partial 16S ribosomal RNA
Rfam family: Bacterial small subunit ribosomal RNA
Source: RNAcentral
UACAGAGGUCCCAAGCGUUGUUCGGAUUUACUGGGCGUAAAGGGUGCGUAGGUGGCGGGGUAAGUCUGGUGUGAAAGCUCCGAGCUCAACUCGGAAAAGCAUUGGAAACUAUCCCGCUGGAGGGUCGGAGGGGAGACUGGAAUUCUCGGUGUAGCAGUGAAAUGCGUAGAUAUCGAGAGGAACACUCGUGGCGAAGGCGAGCUACUGGACAACAUCUGACGCUGAGGCUCGAAGGCUAGGGGAGCAAAAGGG